RNAcentral lists this ribosomal RNA (80 nucleotides) under Megaselia scalaris. RNAcentral describes it as "eukaryotic large subunit ribosomal RNA". Lineage: Eukaryota; Metazoa; Arthropoda; Insecta; Diptera; Phoridae. The record is from RNAcentral.
UAUAUUUGAUCAGGUUGAAGUCAGGAGAAACCCUGAUGGAAGACCGAAACAGUUCUGACNCUUGAUUGGGAAACAAUAUA